Non-coding RNA from Phrynosoma platyrhinos (Desert horned lizard), 72 nucleotides. The record is from the annotation of a GenBank genome assembly. Lineage: Eukaryota; Metazoa; Chordata; Lepidosauria; Squamata; Phrynosomatidae.
ACCAGAGUGGUGUAGUGGUUUGAGCAUCAGACUACAAUUCUGGACACCAGGGUUCAAAUCCCUGCUAAGCAA